RNAcentral lists this transfer RNA (70 nucleotides) under Dipodomys ordii (Ord's kangaroo rat). It matches the Rfam family "tRNA". Rfam says of the family: Transfer RNA (tRNA) molecules are approximately 80 nucleotides in length. Their secondary structure includes four short double-helical elements and three loops (D, anti-codon, and T loops). The record is from Rfam by way of RNAcentral. Lineage: Eukaryota; Metazoa; Chordata; Mammalia; Rodentia; Heteromyidae.
GAGAGUGUAGCUUAGUAGUAGAGUGCAUGCCUAGCAUGCAUGAAGCCCUGGGUUCGAUUCCUCAGUACCA